UUCUUCCUUUUGCCUCAUCAAGCACGGGGGACGCUGGAAGGAAGAGGCUCCAGGGACCUACCUGACUUCCUAUUCAUGCUGAUCCCACUGAGACCCUUAUCAACCCUGACCUGUUCCCCAUGUGCCUCUUGGAUCUGCCUUAUGUUCCAGGAACUAACGUUCACUACAGAGAACUUCAGGUUGCAUCAGGGAACAUAUAUACACAGCAGUCA
Homo sapiens (human) is the source of this 212-nucleotide long non-coding RNA. Ensembl annotates it as lncRNA bladder and prostate cancer suppressor, hnRNPK interacting. Its record names the gene LNC-LBCS. The record is from Ensembl. Lineage: Eukaryota; Metazoa; Chordata; Mammalia; Primates; Hominidae.